RNAcentral lists this long non-coding RNA (226 nucleotides) under Solanum tuberosum (potato). RNAcentral describes it as "long non-coding RNA (STUB_LNC001547)". Lineage: Eukaryota; Viridiplantae; Streptophyta; Magnoliopsida; Solanales; Solanaceae. The record is from RNAcentral.
GAUCUUCAGCUCAUCAACAUUCAGUGGUGAGUCCUCAUUCUCUGAGGACGACAUAUAUGUUUUAUUUGCUUUUAGUCUUAGUUUCAGUUUUGCUAGAUUUAGCUGGGGCAUGUCCCAACACUUCUAGUAAAUUAGAGGCUUAUUUCAGACAUAGUUAGAUUCAACUUUAGUAUUUGAGUUUGACCUUUCAGUUGUUGUUAAACUCUCAGUUUUUAUAUAUUCGGAU